UACAGAGGUGGCAAGCGUUGUUCGGAAUUACUGGGCGUAAAGGGCGCGUAGGCGGCCUACUAAGUCAGACGUGAAAUCCCUCAGCUUAACUGGGGAACUGCGUCUGAUACUGGAUGGCUUGGAUUCGGGAGAGGAAUGCGGAAUUCCAGGUGUAGCGGUGAAAUGCGUAGAUAUCUGGAGGAACACCGGUGGCGAAGGCGGCAUUCUGGGACCGAUAUUGACGCUGAUGAGCGAAAGCUAGGGGAGCAAACGGG
RNAcentral lists this ribosomal RNA (254 nucleotides) under uncultured bacterium. Its description in RNAcentral is "partial 16S ribosomal RNA". It matches the Rfam family "Bacterial small subunit ribosomal RNA", at positions 524 to 776 of the family's 1533-position model. The record is from RNAcentral.